GUGCCAGCAGCCGCGGUAAUACGUAGGCAGCAAGCGUUGUUCGGAAUUACUGGGCGUAAAGAGUGCGUAGGCGGUUCGUCAAGUUUGGUGUGAAAUCUCCCGGCUUAACUGGGAGGGUGCGCCGAAAACUGGCGGACUGGAGUGCGGGAGAGGGAAGUGGAAUUCCUGGUGUAGCGGUGAAAUGCGUAGAGAUCGGGAGGAACAUCUGUGGCGAAGGCGGCCACCUGGACCAGUACUGACGCUGAGGCACGAAAGCUAGGGGAGCAAACAGGAUUAGAUACCCUGGUAGUCCUAGCCCUAAACCAUGACGACUGGAUGUCGGAAGGGUCUGCCUUUCGGUGUCGUAGCUAACGGAUUAAGCAUUCCGCCUGGGGAGUACGGCCGCAAGGUUGAAACUCAAAGGAAUAGACGG
RNAcentral lists this ribosomal RNA (412 nucleotides) under uncultured bacterium. Its description in RNAcentral is "bacterial SSU rRNA". It matches the Rfam family "Bacterial small subunit ribosomal RNA", at positions 505 to 916 of the family's 1533-position model. The record is from RNAcentral.